AUUGAACGCUGGCGGCAUGCUUUACACAUGCAAGUCGAACGGCAGCGCGGGGCAACCUGGCGGCGAGUGGCGAACGGGUGAGUAAUAUAUCGGAACGUACCCAGAAGUGGGGGAUAACGUAGCGAAAGGUACGCUAAUACCGCAUACGAUCUACGGAUGAAAGUAGGGGACCGCAAGGCCUUAUGCUUUUGGAGCGGCCGAUAUCUGAUUAGCUAGUUGGUGAGGUAAAGGCUCACCAAGGCGACGAUCAGUAGCUGGUCUGAGAGGACGACCAGCCACACUGGAACUGAGACACGGUCCAGACUCCUACGGGAGGCAGCAGUGGGGAAUUUUGGACAAUGGGCGCAAGCCUGAUCCAGCAAUGCCGCGUGAGUGAAGAAGGCCUUCGGGUUGUAAAGCUCUUUUGUCAGGGAAGAAACGGUAGAGGCUAAUAUCCUUUGCUAAUGACGGUACCUGAAGAAUAAGCACCGGCUAACUACGUG
RNAcentral lists this ribosomal RNA (482 nucleotides) under uncultured bacterium. RNAcentral describes it as "partial 16S ribosomal RNA". It matches the Rfam family "Bacterial small subunit ribosomal RNA", at positions 30 to 507 of the family's 1533-position model. The record is from RNAcentral.